AAGGCAAGGCAAGAGGGCAAACCUCUCUCUUCCUAAAUCGCAUGCAAGCAAAGAAAGGAAUUGGAAAGAGAUUGCCCUCACCGCCUUCUCUUCCCACCUCCCACCUCCCCCUCUCCUUGUCUCUUUUUUAAGUCUCUCCCCCCUCCUUCUUCUUCCUCUCUCUCUCUCUCUCUCCCCUUCUGAUGGCUGUCUCCAUCUUGCUCAGGUCAAGGAUAGUUUCGAUGUUCCUUCUGUUUAACCUUUUCUCCUCAGAGUUUGGCUUCCUUCGACUUGGUUCUUCGCUAGGCAUCAACUACGGGCAGGUAGCCAACAAUCUACCAUCGCCGGAACAAGUGCGCCUCCUCUUGACCUCCCUCAGGAUCACCAAGACGAGGAUUUACGACACCAACCCUCGAGUCCUCACAGCAUUCGCCAACACCGGCAUCGACCUCAUCGUGACGGUGCCGAACGAGGCCGUGGGCGUGAUGAUGGACCCUCGACAAGCUCUGCAAUGGGUCAUGACCAACGUACAACCCUACUUUCCGGCCACGAAGAUCACCGGCAUCUCCGUCGGCAACGAAGUGUACACGAGCGACGACCCGACCUUGAUGUCGAACCUCGUCCCGGCGCUGCUCAGCAUCCACUCCGCGCUCGUCCAACUCGGCCUUGACUCGUACAUUCACGUGUCGACGGCGAAUUCGCUGGCGGUGCUGGAGAACUCGUACCCGCCGUCGAUGGGGUCAUUCAAGCCGGAGAUGGCGAACCUGUUGGUGCCGUUCCUUCAGUUCCUGGCCGCGACGAAGUCGCCCUUCUGGAUCAAUGCGUACCCCUACUUCGCCUACAAGGAUAGCCCGGCGAAGGUCUCGCUAGACUACGUUCUGUUCAACCCGAACGCAGGGAUGGUGGAUCCUUACACCAAGCUUCGCUACGACAACAUGCUGUACGCUCAAGUGGACGCCGUCAUCUUCGCCAUUGCCCGGUUGGGCUACGGCGGCGUGGACGUCAGGGUGUCGGAGACCGGAUGGCCAUCGAAAGGCGACCCCAACGAGGUCGGCGCCACCGUGGAGAACGCCAGGGCUUACAACAGGAACCUGCUCCUGAGGCAGAUCAGGAGCGAGGGGACUCCGGUGAGGCCAAACCAGAGAUUGGAGGUCUACUUGUUUGCCCUGUUCAACGAGGACAUGAAGCCCGGGCCGACCUCGGAGCGGAACUACGGACUGUAUCAACCCGACGGGACCAUGGUCUAUAACGUCGGCCUGGCCGCAUUGACAUCUUCUGCAUCCGUUUCUCUCACAUCUUCCGCGACAAGGGACAUGAGGAAGGAAGUUGGCAGCUUGUGGUACUGGAUUCUCAUGUUCUCGUUGACUUUCCAAGCUUUUAUGAGAAUGGCAAUCUAACGAAAGAGGAAUGGCUUCACACGUGAUGACUCUUCUCUUUGGUUUUCUCUUUUACAAGGAAAAUGGAGAGACCAUGAACCGCAUUCAUGUCAUGGGACUUCCUCUUUGCCCAAACACCACCAAGAAGAAGAAGCAGUAGCGGCAGUACACCAGUGGAGGAACAAAAGCAAUCGAAAGCUUUGCGACGUGGAACGCACUCCGGUGGCUGUAUAAUAUGAUGUUCCCAUUCUCACUUUGUUUCUUUGAUUCGUUAUUAAAGUGUAAUCAUAAGCUAAAUAAAGAAAGAGUGCCAUUAUUUGGA
This is an RNA transcript of Musa acuminata AAA Group (dessert banana), 1677 nucleotides long. It is a transcript of the gene named glucan endo-1,3-beta-glucosidase 11, with no coding region annotated. NCBI's taxonomy places the organism in Eukaryota, Viridiplantae, Streptophyta, Magnoliopsida, Zingiberales, Musaceae. The record is from RefSeq and is a predicted model, not a curated record. The transcript is spliced from 4 exons.